This 161-nucleotide ribosomal RNA is filed under the name uncultured bacterium. RNAcentral describes it as "partial 16S rRNA". It matches the Rfam family "Bacterial small subunit ribosomal RNA", at positions 355 to 507 of the family's 1533-position model. The record is from RNAcentral.
UGGGGAAUCUUGCGCAAUGGGCGAAAGCCUGACGCAGCAACGCCGCGUGUGUGAUGAAGGUCUUCGGAUCGUAAAGCACUGUCGCGAGGGACGAAUAAGGGUCGGGCUAACAUCCCGGUCCGAUGACGGUACCUCGAGAGGAAGCACCGGCUAACUCUGUG